UUUCAGCAUUCAAUCUUUCUUCUUCCCAUUUAAUAACAAUCAUACUUCCAUUCCAUAAUUCACUUUCACAAUAUUCAAAAACUCUUAAUCUUCUUAUUCAAAGAAAAUAACAAACAAAAGAAAAGAGGUAGCACCAAGCUUAUCCCGGCUCAUACUAUCACAGUUUGGCCCUUACUUCCUCUCUCCCAUCCUCCUUAUGCUACCACGAGAUACCAACUGCUAUAUUUCUAAUGAAAACUACUUUUCCUAACUAUUCAUCUAUUUUACCUAC
This 271-nucleotide long non-coding RNA is filed under the name Physcomitrium patens. RNAcentral describes it as "long non-coding RNA (PPAT_LNC001189)". Lineage: Eukaryota; Viridiplantae; Streptophyta; Bryopsida; Funariales; Funariaceae. The record is from RNAcentral.